UUUAGCGGCGGACGGGUGAGUAACACGUGGGUAAUCUGCCUGUAAGACGGGGAUAACUCCGGGAAACCGGGGCUAAUACCGGAUAAUAAGAGAAGAAGCAUUUCUUCUUUUUGAAAGUCGGUUUCGGCUGACACUUACAGAUGAGCCCGCGGCGCAUUAGCUAGUUGGUGAGGUAACGGCUCACCAAGGCGACGAUGCGUAGCCGACCUGAGAGGGUGAUCGGCCACACUGGGACUGAGACACGGCCCAGACUCCUACGGGAGGCAGCAGUAGGGAAUCUUCGGCAAUGGGCGAAAGCCUGACCGAGCAACGCCGCGUGAGCGAUGAAGGCCUUCGGGUCGUAAAGCUCUGUUGUUAGAGAAGAACAAGUACGAGAGUAACUGCUCGUACCUUGACGGUACCUAACCAGAAAGCCACGGCUAACUACGUGCCAGCAGCCGCGGUAAUACGUAGGUGGCAAGCGUUAUCCGGAAUUAUUGGGCGUAAAGCGCGCGCAGGCGGUCUCUUAAGUCUGAUGUGAAAGCCCACGGCUCAACCGUGGAGGGUCAUUGGAAACUGGGAGACUUGAGUGCAGGAGAGAAAAGUGGAAUUCCACGUGUAGCGGUGAAAUGCGUAGAGAUGUGGAGGAACACCAGUGGCGAAGGCGGCUUUUUGGCCUGUAACUGACGCUGAGGCGCGAAAGCGUGGGGAGCAAACAGGAUUAGAUACCCUGGUAGUCCACGCCGUAAACGAUGAGUGCUAGGUGUUGGGGGGUUCCACCCUCAGUGCUGAAGUUAACACAUUAAGCACUCCGCCUGGGGAGUACGACCGCAAGGUUGAAACUCAAAGGAAUUGACGGGGGCCCGCACAAGCAGUGGAGCAUGUGGUUUAAUUCGAAGCAACGCGAAGAACCUUACCAGGUCUUGACAUCCUUUGACCACUCUAGAGAUAGAGCUUUCCCCUUCGGGGGACAAAGUGACAGGUGGUGCAUGGUUGUCGUCAGCUC
RNAcentral lists this ribosomal RNA (985 nucleotides) under Fictibacillus nanhaiensis. Its description in RNAcentral is "bacterial SSU rRNA". It matches the Rfam family "Bacterial small subunit ribosomal RNA", at positions 91 to 1061 of the family's 1533-position model. Lineage: Bacteria; Bacillati; Bacillota; Bacilli; Caryophanales; Fictibacillaceae. The record is from RNAcentral.